This 209-nucleotide long non-coding RNA is filed under the name Panax ginseng (ginseng). RNAcentral describes it as "long non-coding RNA (PGIN_LNC014028)". Lineage: Eukaryota; Viridiplantae; Streptophyta; Magnoliopsida; Apiales; Araliaceae. The record is from RNAcentral.
UAGAAGCUCAUUCCUUCAUUAUUUCUUACGAAUUCACUAAAACUCUAGAGAGAGAAACUAUAGAGAGAAAGAAGAAAAGUAUUCUGCUACUUCACUACUCUGAUAUCAAGUUUCUUUUACGGUAAGGGGUAUUAUUUCUUUUGUAUUCAUGAAGAGAACUUCUAUUAUUCCAUCUUUAUUAUUCUGUUGGAAUAACCUGUAUACGCGGG